Molecule: long non-coding RNA, 1171 nt
Organism: Triticum aestivum (bread wheat)
Lineage: Eukaryota; Viridiplantae; Streptophyta; Magnoliopsida; Poales; Poaceae
Exons: 5
Source: RefSeq, a predicted model, not a curated record
CCUUUUUUCCCAAUCCAUCCAUCCAUCCAUUCCAGAUUGAGAGAGAGCUCGUAUCCUUCCUUCCUCCAGCUCCCUCCAGAUCGAGAAAGAGACCGCCGCCGCCACCUCCCUCCAGCGGAGCUCGCCACCGUCCAUGGCCUCCCCCACGCCCUCCUGCUCCGCCCGCUCCUCCUCCCUCCACGCCCCCGCGCGCCGUUGCCGAUUUCCCAAAUCAGACCGCCUCCCCGGUUCAUUCCUUCCUCCCCUCCCACCCACCCGCCUCGGUGCCGCCACCCAACUCACCGACGACCUUAUGCAUCGCCGCCGGCCUCCGCUCCCUCCCCUCCCACACGCCCGACGCCCCACUCUCUUCACCUCCCCUUCUCCCCCUACCCCCAGUAGCACCCAGGCCCAACAGCACAUGCGGCGGCCGGAUCCUAGAUCCAACACGCCGGCCUGUGCCUCACCGGAGGAGCACACGCAGAGUGAGGUGGGCUGCCCGCGUGCACACGCCAUGGACCUCCGUCACGGGACGCUAACGCGUCUCGUCUGCCCGGCCGCGUCACCAGACGGUUGCCUGCCUGCUCCCUGCCGACGCCAUCCCGUUCUCGGGACGCCGCGCCUACCACGCCCCGACGUCCCUUCUCCCUCUCCCCUGCGCCGGCCCCGUCGUCCGUCCCCGAGAUGGAGAGGGUGCUAAAGGAUGAUGCCAUCCAGGAGAAGGGUGAACGCGCCAGGGUGCCUUAUAUUUUACUAUUCUUAGGUGGCGGGCUUAUACGGCAUCGCGAGCAGGAGGGCCAUGAGGGGUUUGCUGCUCUGCUCCUAGGGCGACCAAGAGGUCCUGCCCCGAGCUCAAGCACGUUCACGCCGACCCACCACGACAGAUGACCAAGCCCAAGGAGGAAGCAGCUGCUCAUCACUGAGGACAAGUAACUCCAGCAGGUGAAGUAUGAAGUGUGAAGCCGUGAAGCCUAUCAGCAAGAGUAGCAUAUUAUGUAUUGUAAUAUCAGGCAGAGUGUAAUAUUAGUCAGAGUAGCAUAUUAUGUAUUGUAAAUUUAGUGUUGUUUUGGAUGAAUUUCAUUUGCUCUAUAAUCUAUUUGAAACAUUGAUUGUGUAUAUAAUUUCAAUACCUAUGAAAUGGAGACCUGACCAGGGGGACCCACUUAUGUAAAUUGGUUGACAAAUUUUGAAA